MicroRNA precursor from Bison bison bison, 60 nucleotides. Lineage: Eukaryota; Metazoa; Chordata; Mammalia; Artiodactyla; Bovidae. The record is from Ensembl.
CAGGGAGGGCAGGGGAGGGAGGCUGUGUGCAGGCCUGCCCUGACUGCCGCCCCCCGCAGG